GAACAACUAUUGUCUCCCAAGAUGCCGUGUUCGAAGAUGUUCAUUCUCUUCACUCUAGCCGCAGUGUUGGUCAUACAUAAAGUCCACGCUGAGCCCCGUGACGGCACCAGAUGCCCCGCCUACCCGCUGAACCUAGCCUGGGGCUGCGCCUAUCAGGACGCCUGCUUCUCCUUCAGACUCGGCCAGGGCCGGCUGAACUUCCUGGGGCUGGCCGGCUGUCCGGACGGAACUAUCUGCUGUCCGGGACCGUGUGGACAUCGCUGUCUCACACCCGUCUAACUUCGUAUGGCCCAAGACACUCCACCGAGGACAACGCUGUCUUCAGAAGACUCCAGAGGGCACACAAAAUUUUCGACGGACACCCUUAUUUGGAAUAGAUCGAUUCUGCUUGUCUGUCACAAUUAGCCGUUUCUAUUUUUAAACAAACCAUAUACUAUAACUUACCAGGGGAGUUGGUCCGCUAGAGGAGUACAAUUUGUACCUCCUGAACGGUACUAGUUUAGCGGACUGACUCCCC
Branchiostoma belcheri (Belcher's lancelet) is the source of this 517-nucleotide long non-coding RNA. RefSeq lists it as uncharacterized. The transcript has 3 exons. Lineage: Eukaryota; Metazoa; Chordata; Leptocardii; Amphioxiformes; Branchiostomatidae. The record is from RefSeq and is a predicted model, not a curated record.